AGUUUAUCUGAUGACAUUAGCUUAAAUUGGUGCUUUGUUUUUUUUUUUGCUCAUAUCCGUCCAAUGUCCAAUGUCGAUUAUCUAAUAUUCAGAAAGUU
This 98-nucleotide small nucleolar RNA is filed under the name Oryza sativa (Asian cultivated rice). RNAcentral's name for it is "box C/D snoRNA J21.1". The record is from RNAcentral. Lineage: Eukaryota; Viridiplantae; Streptophyta; Magnoliopsida; Poales; Poaceae.